UGGACAGAAAGACCCUAUGAAGCUUGACUGUAUUCUGGAAUUGGGUUCGGGCUUUUCUUGCGCAGAAUAGGUGGGAGGCUAUGAAGGUUCCCUUCCGGGGGGACUAGAGCCAUCAGUGAGAUACCACUCUGGAAGAGCUAGAAUCCUAAUGGUGAUCUUUGAAUCAAGACACUUAACAGUUCCAGAAGGGCAGUUUAUCUGGGGCGGAUUCCUCAUAAAGUGUAACUGAGGUGUGCAAAGGUUCUCUCAGUCUGGACGGAAAUCAGACAUUGAGUGCAAAGGCAAAAGAGAGCUUGACUGCAAGACCAACAAGUCGAGCAGGGGCGAAAGCCGGCCUUAGUGAUCCGACGGUGCCGUGUGGAAGGGCCGUCGCUCAACGGAUAAAAGUUACUCUAGGGAUAACAGGCUGA
RNAcentral lists this ribosomal RNA (410 nucleotides) under Chlamydomonas pumilio. RNAcentral's name for it is "partial large subunit ribosomal RNA". It matches the Rfam family "Bacterial large subunit ribosomal RNA", at positions 2077 to 2485 of the family's 2925-position model. The record is from RNAcentral. Lineage: Eukaryota; Viridiplantae; Chlorophyta; Chlorophyceae; Chlamydomonadales; Chlamydomonadaceae.